GAUCAGGUAGGGUUACCCGCUGAACUUAAGCAUAUCAAUAAGCGGAGGA
RNAcentral lists this ribosomal RNA (49 nucleotides) under Wardomyces inflatus. RNAcentral describes it as "partial 28S ribosomal RNA". Lineage: Eukaryota; Fungi; Ascomycota; Sordariomycetes; Microascales; Microascaceae. The record is from RNAcentral.